RNAcentral lists this long non-coding RNA (1043 nucleotides) under Pan troglodytes (chimpanzee). RNAcentral describes it as "long non-coding RNA NONPTRT001607". The record is from RNAcentral. Lineage: Eukaryota; Metazoa; Chordata; Mammalia; Primates; Hominidae.
GGGAUAGGGGUGUGGGAGCGGAGGACGAGGUUCUGCUUCUUCAAGCUGAACUCACACCCUCGAAUGCUGGAGGAAGAAUUAAAAAGAGAAAGGAAACGGUGACUCUGAGAACCCUGCAGAAAUAGGGAAGCUUUACAAGCUGUGGGAAAGCCUCUGUUCUCAUCAGCAAUAGUGAGAUUUCAUAAGGAACUAAUGAAACGGAGACAAUCUACUCAUGCCAACACUUCUGGAGAGGCUUCACAUGCUUGCAAGGAGGGUAACAAAUUGUGUGAAACUCUCCUCUUGCAGGCUCAAUUCAUGGACAUUUAAUACUAGGGCAACCCUCUGAAAUGUGAAUAUUUUAAAAGAGAGUCUGGAAUAUCCAGCGCCAUCCAGUAUCAUAUUUCCCCCAUCCACCCCUCACUCCCAAGUCCAAGAAAACAAGCAUGUGUCUACCAUGGGGCUCAGAAAGAGCAGGCAUUUCUAAGAGUUCCAACUGCUGACCCUGGGGAGAUACGAUGUUCCUGUUAACCUCAGUGAGCUUCUAAUGAAAGGGACAAGGACCUCAGACUCCUAAGGUGCUCAUCUUUCAAAAAGCAAAUCAUCAUUAAUGAUUAACAUUGAUGAGUUCUGGCACAUUCCUGGGCUGCUGCUGUUUGGAUAAAGACCUUACAGAACGUGAGAGUGCAAAGCAGAGGCCUAUGGUGUGGAGUUUCAUGAAAUGAUCCUCUGUGAAGCUCCACUGAGUGACAGUAGCAGGAACAAGACGGGGGAGCACGCAGUGCCCAUGCCUCCUGCAGGCUGUCCGGGUGCAGAAGUUGGAAGGAGCACGCCAGGCAUGGAGCUCACAUUUCGGAUUUCAGAGCAAAAUACCGUUGAGAGAGCAAGAGAUACACCUGAGUGAGAUGGGAGACUGGCACUAGUGCCUAAACACACACUAUCUUUUAAUGGAGACUAUUACAAAAUAAAUGGAAGGAGAUGGGAGAAUGUGGAUGGAAUUUGCUUGUCACAAUUUUCACGGGUCUGUUGUGUUCUGGAACGUAACCAGCUUGGUUUGCACCCUG